RNAcentral lists this small RNA (79 nucleotides) under Flavobacterium chilense. Its description in RNAcentral is "Flavo-1 RNA". It matches the Rfam family "Flavo-1 RNA". Lineage: Bacteria; Pseudomonadati; Bacteroidota; Flavobacteriia; Flavobacteriales; Flavobacteriaceae. The record is from RNAcentral.
UCUUAGCCCUGAUGGAAGCGAUAUCCUUUUAUUUUUUUCUUUAAAAAAUAAAAGAUACUAGCGGACAGCAGGAAAUAGC